This 253-nucleotide ribosomal RNA is filed under the name uncultured bacterium. RNAcentral describes it as "partial 16S ribosomal RNA". It matches the Rfam family "Bacterial small subunit ribosomal RNA", at positions 524 to 776 of the family's 1533-position model. The record is from RNAcentral.
UACGAAAGGGGCUAGCGAUGGUCGGAAUUACUGGGCGUAAAGCGCGCGUAGGCGGCCUUGUAAGAUAGGGGUGAAAUCCCCGGGCUCAACCCGGGAACUGCCUUCAUGACUGCAAAGCUAGAGGAUGCGAGAGGUUAGCGGAAUUCCGAGUGUAGAGGUGAAAUUCGUAGAUAUUCGGAAGAACACCAGUGGCGAAGGCGGCUAACUGGCGCAUUUCUGACGCUGAGGUGCGAAAGCGUGGGGAGCAAACAGG